RNAcentral lists this ribosomal RNA (661 nucleotides) under uncultured bacterium. RNAcentral describes it as "bacterial SSU rRNA". It matches the Rfam family "Bacterial small subunit ribosomal RNA", at positions 33 to 688 of the family's 1533-position model. The record is from RNAcentral.
ACGCUGGCGGCAGGCCUAACACAUGCAAGUCGAGCGGAUGAAGGGAGCUUGCUUCCUGAUUCAGCGGCGGACGGGUGAGUAAUGCCUAGGAAUCUGCCUGGUAGUGGGGGACAACGUCUCGAAAGGGACGCUAAUACCGCAUACGUCCUACGGGAGAAAGUGGGGGAUCUUCGGACCUCACGCUAUCAGAUGAGCCUAGGUCGGAUUAGCUAGUUGGUGAGGUAAUGGCUCACCAAGGCGACGAUCCGUAACUGGUCUGAGAGGAUGAUCAGUCACACUGGAACUGAGACACGGUCCAGACUCCUACGGGAGGCAGCAGUGGGGAAUAUUGGACAAUGGGCGAAAGCCUGAUCCAGCCAUGCCGCGUGUGUGAAGAAGGUCUUCGGAUUGUAAAGCACUUUAAGUUGGGAGGAAGGGCAUUAACCUAAUACGUUAGUGUUUUGACGUUACCGACAGAAUAAGCACCGGCUAACUCUGUGCCAGCAGCCGCGGUAAUACAGAGGGUGCAAGCGUUAAUCGGAAUUACUGGGCGUAAAGCGCGCGUAGGUGGUUUGUUAAGUUGGAUGUGAAAUCCUCGGGCUCAACCUGGGAACUGCAUUCAAAACUGACUGACUAGAGUAUGGUAGAGGGGUGGUGGAAUUUCCUGUGUAGCGGUGAAAUG